UUUAUAAACAUGAAGCAUAAGUUUUAAAAUAAGUAGUUCAAAAAAAGAGCAUGCGAAACAUUGUUUAUGAAGAAAUUACGAUUUGAAUUCACCUUGACCCAAUAUAGAUAUGAUUAUAAAACCUAAUUUUCAUAAUACUGCUAUUAGAAGAUGAGUUAGUCAAUUAAACAAUUUAAAAAAUUAUAUUUGGAGUUUCAUGACCCUUCUAUCCUACACGAGUGACGUAAUUGAAUGACUCAUCCACGGCUCUUCCAUCGGACAGUGCCAGCAAGUUGAGGUUCUAGGGGAGUGUUUAGCCCUGAACGUAGAUCUUUGUACCUUCACAAGUUGCCAAUACCCUGAUUCCGUGUUAUCCGGACCGCCAUAUUGAUUUUGAAGAUAUGAUAUUUUUAGUGUAUGAAAAAUGAUAUUCAAGUCCAAGAGAAAGAUACCUCAUUGAGAUGAAGGACAAUGCAGUGUUUAUUAUGUGACUAACUGUUGGUGUCUAUUGAACAGGAAUUUUCCUGUUUCUUUUUUAAGUAUAUAAAAGGUAUAUAUUUUCUGAACCA
Parasteatoda tepidariorum (common house spider) is the source of this 548-nucleotide non-coding RNA. NCBI's taxonomy places the organism in Eukaryota, Metazoa, Arthropoda, Arachnida, Araneae, Theridiidae. The record is from RefSeq and is a predicted model, not a curated record.